UCCCUAACGCCAGGGUUGACAGGAGCAACAUUCACAACAAGCCCUGGGCGACAAGAACCGGGGGAAGUACCUUGAGCUCUGAUUAAGGGGAAUAGGGGAAGACGAUGCCAAAGAAGAAGCACGGGGACCACGACAGCGACGAAGAAGACAUCUUCUAUUACCGCUAUGCUUCCUAUUCUGCUUCUUCAGCACCUUCCUCAAACACCACCAGAACCCUCAAGACUCACGGUGGCUCUGGUGGGUUAGCUCCCUCUAAAUCCACUAUCUACGUCUCCAACCUUGACUUCUCCCUCACUAACUCCGACCUCAACACCCUUUUUUCCACCUUCGGAAAGAUCGCCCGAGUCACCGUGCUCAAGGACCGAGUCACUCGCCAGAGCCGUGGCGUCGCUUUCAUUCAAUACGUUUCUCGUGACGAUGCACAAAAAGCUGCUCGUGAGAUGAACCGCAAAGUUCUCAACGGCAGGACCUUGACUGCUUCCAUCGCCGCGGAUAAUGGCCGGGCUCCGGAAUUUAUAAAGAAAAGGGUUUAUAAGGAUAAGAGUCGGUGUUACGAGUGUGGGGAAGGAGGACAUUUGUCUUAUGAGUGUCCCAGGAAUCAGUUAGGGCCCAGGCAGCGUCCGGUUCCCAAGCGCGAACGACAUGGCAGUGGCGGUGGCGGCGGGGGCGGGUACCAGCGGGCCGAGGAGGAUGAUGACGGAUCCGAUGGUGGGGAUCGGUUUGAGGAUGAUAAUUGGGCUUCUAUUGUGGAUAAUGGGGCGGAUGAAAGGUUGCUGACGGGUAACGAGAAGGUUGUGGAGAAGAAGAAGGCGAAGAAAGCAAGCUAUUUCAGUGAUGAGAGUGGUGAUGAAGAUGAUUGAUCUUUUGGGCAGAAACGAAUUGAGCAAUUCAAGGGGACAUACUUGGAAAGUUUUCCUAUUCCCAAGGACAAUAGCUGACUGGAAGGUCCUGUCAAUAUUAGAAGCUGUGACAGUGAAUACCCAUGGAGCUGUAUUGACGAUAGUGCAAGAAUCAGGGCCGUCAUUCCCUGCAGAGCACACCACCAUGAUUCGCAUUUCUUCAGCAUGAAAUGCUCCAAUGGCUAUGGGAUCAUUCAAAAAGUCUGAUUGAAAGAGUGAGUUGAGUCCAAUGGAGAUAGAGAUUAUGUCCACUCUGUCUUUUAUUGCAUCAUCGAUAGCCUUCAGAAUGGUGGAACCAGGGCAGCCAUCUUCUGAGCAUGCCUUGUAGGCAGCAAUCCUAGAAGAAGGUGAGCCUCCUCUUGCAGUUCCCUUCGCUAAGCCAUAAUAAUUGGCAUUUUGAACUCUGCUACCUGCUGUUGGUGAUGCAGUGUGAGUGCCAUGGCCAACAGAGUCUCUUGGGGACCCUCUGCCUUUUGGGUGGAAUCUUCCCAAUAUCAUGAUCGUUGAAACUUGGAGCCUCAGGCCAAAUCCCUUUGGGGGAAGAAAUCAAAUAUAGGCAUGGGUGAAUCAUAACAUAUUAACUAGAAGUUGGAAAUUCUCUAGUCUGUGUAAACUUUAA
RNA transcript from Neltuma alba, 1518 nucleotides. It is a transcript of the gene named U11/U12 small nuclear ribonucleoprotein 31 kDa protein-like, with no coding region annotated. The record is from RefSeq and is a predicted model, not a curated record. Lineage: Eukaryota; Viridiplantae; Streptophyta; Magnoliopsida; Fabales; Fabaceae. The transcript has 3 exons.